Molecule: ribosomal RNA, 229 nt
Filed under: uncultured bacterium
Lineage: Bacteria
Description: partial 16S ribosomal RNA
Rfam family: Bacterial small subunit ribosomal RNA
Source: RNAcentral
UGCGCAGGCGGACUAAUAAGUCAGAGGUGAAAUCCUACAGCUUAACUGUAGAACUGCCUUUGAUACUGUUAGUCUUGAGUGCAGUUGAGGUAGGCGGAAUGUGUCAUGUAGCGGUGAAAUGCUUAGAUAUGACACAGAACACCGAUCGUGAAGACAGCUUACCAAACUGCUACUGACGCUCAUGCACGAAAGCGUGGGGAGCGAACAGGAUUAGAUACCCUGGUAGUCC